RNAcentral lists this transfer RNA (72 nucleotides) under Gossypium harknessii. RNAcentral's name for it is "tRNA-Val". Lineage: Eukaryota; Viridiplantae; Streptophyta; Magnoliopsida; Malvales; Malvaceae. The record is from RNAcentral.
CAUCCCCGGUUUACCCGCUCAUAGUUCUUGCUCUAUCCGCGCACUUCUUUCAUCCGAGGGUAGAAGCCUUAG